AGUGUUAAAAUAUAAUAGGCAGGUUUUAGAUCUAUAUCUGGAUCUGGAUCACCAAUUCACCAUGUCGCCGCACAGACGCCUUCGUCUUCUUCGAUUACCACACGCCGCCGCACGCCGUCGCCACUCCUCUCCUCGCCGUCGCCGUCCAGCCAACUCCUCUCUUCUCCGAUCUUCUCCGCUCGCUGCGAACGCUGCCCAACGCAGUCCAACGCCGCAGCCCGUCGCGCCGUCCAGAUCUGACGCCUCCAGCCCCGUCGCCGUCCAGCCCUCCAGCCGCACCGUCGUCGUCGCCGUCCACCACCUCCAACCGCGCCGUCGCUGUCCAGGGAAAAGAAAAAGCCAUUUCUUCUCAUCGAUUUUCUGAGUACUUGAGGAUUAAUGUUUAUGUAUUAGGUGCUGUCUUCUUACAGCUUUGCAAACUUCUAAGCCUUGAGGAGCGCCCAAUUGUUCAAAAACCUGUAGAUCCUAGCCUUUUCAUUCAUCGAUUCACUGAUCCUCAUUUGGUUGGGCAAGCUUGCUCUUGAGCCAACAACUUAUUUAGGAUUAAAUACUUGUUUCUACUAACUUGAGAUUUGAGUAGGAUUAUCGACGUAAAGCAAAGGAAGAUGAUAAUUCAAGUGCUGCCCAGAGAGCAUAAGUGAUGGUCAAGCCAAUCUAGUGGAGGGGUGAACUUUCAAAAUCUUGUGGAAAACAACAGAUGCUAUUUAUUAGAUUGUGGUGAUGAGGUAUUUGUUUGGGUUGGCCGUGUAACACAAGUGAAUGAGAGGAGACUGCUAUGUAGUUCUAUACACCUAUCACUCUCAUGAUAAGAAAGAAGAUUAUUACCUGUGCAAUUCACUGGAAGCAUAUAUCAUCUGGCUUCGCCACCGUCGCCACAAAAGGUAAGUAUUGCUUUAUAUUUAAUAUAUUAUUAAUAUUUAAUACCUCAUUGGUGUUCAAUUAGAUGGAAGUGAACAUGUAGAACCAUUAAGGAACCGCCUCUCAGAUAAAAUGGAGCAAGAAAGUGCUAAGUUGUGCUAUGUAAACACAAAUGACUAUUAACAGUCCUAAUAAGCAGCUGGGGGCUGGCCUGGUUCAAAUGCUAUCUCAAUUUCACAGCAAGCUGAGCUUGCCAAGAAAGCUUUGCAUGAGAAUGUGUGUAGGCUUAAGGAAGACUUUCAUGCUGUGGUAGAUUGGGCAUACAAGAUUGAUCCUUUGCGUUGCAUAUCAUUGCAUGGAGUCACAGAACGGUAUAUUUCUGGUCAGAAAUCUGAUACAGCAGGAUUUGUUCGUAUCUUGCUUGAUGACCUUGAAUCUAGAAUAUCUGUACUAUUUAGCCGUGUAACCAGCUGCAUCCUUGCUUAUCAACUUUUAUAGUAGUGAUAUUCUUCUUCUUCUUUUCAUUUUUGUAAACUUGAAACUUGGAUUGUAGUUUGUAGAUGAAGCUUGUCAUCAAAUUGAAAGAAAUGAGCGAAAUGUUCGUAGAAUAAAUUUUUAUCAAA
Molecule: RNA transcript, 1481 nt
Organism: Ipomoea triloba (trilobed morning glory)
Lineage: Eukaryota; Viridiplantae; Streptophyta; Magnoliopsida; Solanales; Convolvulaceae
Exons: 8
Source: RefSeq, a predicted model, not a curated record